UUAAAUUGAAGAGUUUGAUCAUGGCUCAGAUUGAACGCUGGCGGCAGGCCUAACACAUGCAAGUCGAACGGUAACAGGAAGCAGCUUGCUGCUUUGCUGACGAGUGGCGGACGGGUGAGUAAUGUCUGGGAAACUGCCUGAUGGAGGGGGAUAACUACUGGAAACGGUGGCUAAUACCGCAUAACGUCGCAAGACCAAAGAGGGGGACCUUCGGGCCUCUUGCCAUCAGAUGUGCCCAGAUGGGAUUAGCUUGUUGGUGAGGUAACGGCUCACCAAGGCGACGAU
RNAcentral lists this ribosomal RNA (285 nucleotides) under Salmonella enterica subsp. enterica serovar Derby. Its description in RNAcentral is "partial 16S ribosomal RNA". It matches the Rfam family "Bacterial small subunit ribosomal RNA", at positions 1 to 280 of the family's 1533-position model. The record is from RNAcentral. Lineage: Bacteria; Pseudomonadati; Pseudomonadota; Gammaproteobacteria; Enterobacterales; Enterobacteriaceae.